Molecule: ribosomal RNA, 253 nt
Filed under: uncultured bacterium
Lineage: Bacteria
Description: partial 16S ribosomal RNA
Rfam family: Bacterial small subunit ribosomal RNA
Source: RNAcentral
UACAGAGGUCCCAAGCGUUGUUCGGAUUCACUGGGCGUAAAGGGCGCGUAGGUGGUUAGGUAAGUCUGAUGUGAAAUCUCUGGGCUCAACCCAGAAACUGCAUUGGAUACUAUCUAGCUAGAGGAGUGGAGGGGGGACUGGAAUACUUGGUGUAGCAGUGAAAUGCGUAGAUAUCAAGUGGAACACCAGUGGCGAAGGCGAGUCCCUGGACACUUCCUGACACUGAGGGACGAAAGCUAGGGGAGCGAAUGGG